Molecule: non-coding RNA, 187 nt
Organism: Arabidopsis lyrata subsp. lyrata
Lineage: Eukaryota; Viridiplantae; Streptophyta; Magnoliopsida; Brassicales; Brassicaceae
Rfam family: Antisense RNA which regulates isiA expression
Source: Rfam
AAUAACCAAAUAUAACACUUGGGCUAAGAGUCAAGUUUGUAAUUUUUCUUACAUCCCCCCCUCCCGGAGCCCAGGUAUCAUAUACGCCCCCAAAAUAGAGAGCCUUGAAUACUAGAAGAAAGGCACCUACACCUAACAAAAUUAAGUGAAUACCCAAAAUGGUGGUCAUUUUAUUUCUAUCUUUCCA